AAGUCGUAACAAGGUCUCCGUUGGUGAACCAGCGGAGGGAUCAUUAUAGAGUUCUAAACUCCAAACCUUUGUGAACAUAUACGUGUUGCUUCGGCGGGUUGGGGGGCCCAGCGCCCACCGUCGCCCGCCGGGGACCCAAACUCUUGCCUUCUAGAGGAAUCUUCUGAGUGAAAGCAAAUAAAAUCAAAACUUUCAGCAACGGAUCUCUUGGCUCUA
This 216-nucleotide unclassified non-coding RNA is filed under the name fungal sp. RNAcentral describes it as "partial internal transcribed spacer region". The stretch from base 1 to 46 matches the Rfam family "Eukaryotic small subunit ribosomal RNA", at positions 1786 to 1831 of the family's 1831-position model. Lineage: Eukaryota; Fungi. The record is from RNAcentral.